This 496-nucleotide ribosomal RNA is filed under the name uncultured bacterium. RNAcentral's name for it is "partial 16S ribosomal RNA". It matches the Rfam family "Bacterial small subunit ribosomal RNA", at positions 28 to 506 of the family's 1533-position model. The record is from RNAcentral.
GAUGAACGCUGGCGGCGUGCCUAAUACAUGCAAGUCGAGCGAACGGACGAGAAGCUUGCUUUUCUGAUGUUAGCGGCGGACGGGUGAGUAACACGUGGAUAACCUACCUAUAAGACUGGGAUAACUUCGGGAAACCGGAGCUAAUACCGGAUAAUAUUUUGAACCGCAUGGUUCAAAAGUGAAAGACGGUCUUGCUGUCACUUAUAGAUGGAUCCGCGCUGCAUUAGCUAGUUGGUAAGGUAACGGCUUACCAAGGCAACGAUGCAUAGCCGACCUGAGAGGGUGAUCGGCCACUCUGGAACUGAGACACGGUCCAGACUCCUACGGGAGGCAGCAGUAGGGAAUCUUCCGCAAUGGGCGAAAGCCUGACGGAGCAACGCCGCGUGAGUGAUGAAGGUCUUCGGAUCGUAAAACUCUGUUAUUAGGGAAGAACAUAUGUGUAAGUAACUGUGCACAUCUUGACGGUACCUAAUCAGAAAGCCACGGCUAACUACGU